RNAcentral lists this ribosomal RNA (200 nucleotides) under uncultured bacterium. Its description in RNAcentral is "partial 16S ribosomal RNA". It matches the Rfam family "Bacterial small subunit ribosomal RNA", at positions 8 to 238 of the family's 1533-position model. The record is from RNAcentral.
AGAGUUUGAUCAUGGCUCAGAACGAACGCUGGCGGCAGGCUUAACACAUGCAAGUCGAGCGCCCCGCAAGGGGAGCGGCAGACGGGUGAGUAACGCGUGGGAACGUACCCAGCUCUACGGAAUAACUCAGGGAAACUUGUGCUAAUACCGUAUACGUCCGAGAGGAGAAAGAUUUAUCGGAGUUGGAUCGGCCCGCGUUG